RNAcentral lists this ribosomal RNA (787 nucleotides) under uncultured archaeon. Its description in RNAcentral is "bacterial SSU rRNA". It matches the Rfam family "Archaeal small subunit ribosomal RNA", at positions 85 to 878 of the family's 1478-position model. The record is from RNAcentral.
ACUGCUCAGUAACACGUAGCUAACCUACCCUUAAGUCGAGGAUACUCUCGGGAAACUGAGGUUAAUACUCGAUAGGAGAUGUACCCUGGAAUGAUUCAUCUCUCAAAUUCGUGCUUAAGGAUGGGGCUGCGGCGGAUUAGGUUGUUGGCGGGAUAAAAGCCCACCAAGCCGAUGAUCCGUAAGGGCUCUUAGCGGAGAGGCCCUGAGAGGGAAUCUGAGACACUAUUCCCAGCCCUACGGGGUGCAGCAGUUAGGAAUCUUCUGCAAUGCGCGCAAGCGUGACAGAUUGAGUCAGAGUGCUUUUCAUAUGAAAAGCUUUUGCCAAAUGCAAAAAGUUUGGCGAAUAAGGACUGGGUAAGACGGGUGCCAGCCGCCGCGGUAAUACCCGCGGUCCAAGUCGCAGCCAUCAUUAUUGGGUCUAAAACAUCCGUAGCUUGCUUAGUAAGUUUCUUGUGAAAUUCCAUGUCUUAAAUAUGGAGCGGGCAAGAAGUACUGUUAAGCUAGAGACUGGAAGACGUAAGAAGUACGUUUGGAGUAGCGGUAAAAUGUGUUAAUCCCAGACGGACUAACAACAGCGAAGGCAUCUUACGAGGACAGUUCUGACAGUAAGGGAUGAAGGCUAGGGGCGCGAAAGGGAUUAGAUACCCCUGUAGUCCUAGCAGUAAACACUGCACACUAAACAUUAGUACCUCCUCGAGAGGUAUUAGUGCUGAAGAGAAGUCGAAGAGUGUGCUACCUGGGAAGUAUAGUCGCAAGGCUGAAACUUAAAGGAAUUGGCGGGGGAGCA